UCUGUACUUCGCUGCGGACAGGCCAGCAUCGGUUUCUGUGGUCGGAGAAAGUCGCUGGGAAGCUGGCAGCCUGCGGGGUGUGUUAUAGCCCGGCGCGCAAUGCGGCCAUCUGGGACCGAGGACCGCGCUUCGGCAAGGAUGCUGGCGUAAUGGCCUCAUGCGGCCCGUCUUGAAACACGGACCAAGGAGUCUAACAUCUAUGCGAGUGUUUGGGUGGGAAGCCCGGGCGCGUAAUGAAAGUGAACGGAGGUGGGAGCUCUCGGGCGCACCAUCGACCGAUCCGGACGUUUUCUGAAGGAUUUGAGUAAGAGCAUAGCUGUUGGGACCCGAAAGAUGGUGAACUAUGCGUGAAUAGGGUGAAGCCAGAGGAAACUCUGGUGGAGGCUCGCAGCGGUUCUGACGUGCAAAUCGAUCGUCAAAUUUGCGUAUAGGGGCGAAAGACUAAUCGAACCAUCUAGUAGCUGGUUCCUGCCGAAGUUUCCCUCAGGAUAGCAGUAACGUAUUCAGUUUUAUGAGGUAAAGCGAACGAUUAGGGAGCUAGGGGUUGAAACAACCUUUAUCCAUUCUCGAACUUUAAAUAUGUAAGAAGUCCUUGUUGCUUUGUUGAACGUGGACACUCGAAUGCAGCGUUACUAGUGGGCCAUUUUUGGUAAGCAGAACUGGCGAUGCGGGAUGAACCGAACGUGGGGUUAAGGUGCCGGAAUGCACGCUCAUCAGACACCACAAAAGGUGUUGGUUCAUCCAGACAGCAGGACGGUGGCCAUGGAAGUCGGAAUCCGCUAAGGAGUGUGUAACAACUCACCUGCCGAAUGAACCAGCCCUGAAAAUGGAUGGCGCUCAAGCGUGCUACCCAUACCCCACCGUCUUCGUGGGAAGGUUUGCGAAGACGAGUAGGCAGGCGUGGAGGUUUUGUGACGAAGCCCAGGG
This 927-nucleotide ribosomal RNA is filed under the name Scolecobasidium sp. RNAcentral's name for it is "partial large subunit ribosomal RNA". It matches the Rfam family "Eukaryotic large subunit ribosomal RNA", at positions 474 to 1415 of the family's 3401-position model. The record is from RNAcentral. Lineage: Eukaryota; Fungi; Ascomycota; Dothideomycetes; Venturiales; Sympoventuriaceae.